CACCUACUCCCUCCGUUCCGAAUUACUUGUUUUGGAUUUGUCUAGAUACAGAUGUAUCUAGACUUAUUUUAGUGAUAGAUACAUCCGUAUCUAGACAAAUUUAAGACAAGUAAUUCGGAACGGAGGGAGUAGUUG
Non-coding RNA from Triticum aestivum (bread wheat), 135 nucleotides. NCBI's taxonomy places the organism in Eukaryota, Viridiplantae, Streptophyta, Magnoliopsida, Poales, Poaceae. The record is from Rfam.